UGCCAGCCGCCGCGGUAAUACGGAGGGGGCGGGCGUUAUUCGGAAUUACUGGGCGUAAAGGGUGCGUAGGCGGCCCAUCAAGUUAGACGUGAAAGCCCCGGGCUCAACCUGGGAAUUGCGUUUAAUACUGGUGAGCUAGAGUACGAAAGAGGAAAGUGGAAUUCCUAGUGUAGAGGUGAAAUUCGUAGAUAUUAGGAAGAACACCAGUGGCGAAGGCGGCUUUCUGGACCAAUACUGACGCUGAGAUGCGAAAGCGUGGGGAGCGAACAGGAUUAGAUA
This 279-nucleotide ribosomal RNA is filed under the name uncultured bacterium. RNAcentral's name for it is "partial 16S ribosomal RNA". It matches the Rfam family "Bacterial small subunit ribosomal RNA", at positions 506 to 784 of the family's 1533-position model. The record is from RNAcentral.